Molecule: ribosomal RNA, 433 nt
Filed under: uncultured bacterium
Lineage: Bacteria
Description: partial 16S ribosomal RNA
Rfam family: Bacterial small subunit ribosomal RNA
Source: RNAcentral
AACGAACGCUGGCGGCAUGCCUAACACAUGCAAGUCGAACGAGACCUUCGGGUCUAGUGGCGCACGGGUGCGUACCGCGUGGGAACCUGCCCUUAGGUUCGGAAUAACUCCCCGAAAGGUGUGCUAAUACCGGAUAAUGUCUUCGGACCAAAGAUUUCUCGCCUUUGGGUGGGCCCGUGUUGGUUUCGCUAGUUGGUAGGGUAAAAGCCUACCAAGGCGACGUUCCAUAGCUGGUCUGAGAGGAUGAUCAGCCACACUGGGACUGAGACACGGCCCAGACUCCUACGGGAGGCAGCAGUGGGGAAUAUUGGACAAUGGGCGAAAGCCUGAUCCAGCAAUGCCGCGUGAGUGAUGAAGGCCUUAGGGUUGUAAAGCUCUUUUACCCGGGAUGAUAAUGACAGUAACGGGAGAAUAAGCUCCGGCUAACUCCGUG